UCUAUCUCUUCCAGUCUACAUUUCGAUCAUCACUCUCCCACCACAAGUCUUCCAUUUUUUCUUAAGGAAAAAGGCAAAAAGGGUGGGAGGGAAUGGAAAACAACAAGUGGGACUUAAUAACACGCACACAUUUCUAUUUCU
Caenorhabditis elegans is the source of this 141-nucleotide non-coding RNA. NCBI's taxonomy places the organism in Eukaryota, Metazoa, Nematoda, Chromadorea, Rhabditida, Rhabditidae. The record is from Ensembl.